UAGGGAAUCUUCGGCAAUGGACGGAAGUCUGACCGAGCAACGCCGCGUGAGUGAAGAAGGCUUUCGGAUCGUAAAGCUCUGUUGUUAGAGAAGAACGUUGGCAGGAGUGGAAAAUCUACCAAGUGACGGUAACUAACCAGAAAGGGACGGCUAACUACGUGCCAGCAGCCGCGGUAAUACGUAGGUCCCGAGCGUUGUCCGGAUUUAUUGGGCGUAAAGCGAGCGCAGGCGGUUCUUUAAGUCUGAAGUUAAAGGCAGUGGCUUAACCAUUGUACGCUUUGGAAACGUGUGGACUUGAGUGCAGAAGGGGAGAGUGGAAUUCCAUGUGUAGCGGUGAAAUGCGUAGAUAUAUGGAGGAACACCGGUGGCGAAAGCGGCUCUCUGGUCUGUAGCUGACGCUGAGGCUCGAAAGCGUGGGGAGCAAACAGG
This 429-nucleotide ribosomal RNA is filed under the name Bacillota bacterium. Its description in RNAcentral is "Firmicutes bacterium partial 16S ribosomal RNA". It matches the Rfam family "Bacterial small subunit ribosomal RNA", at positions 355 to 776 of the family's 1533-position model. Lineage: Bacteria; Bacillati; Bacillota. The record is from RNAcentral.